GCGAGCAUAGCUCAACCUGGUCAGAGCACUUGACUGUGGAUCAAGGGGUUGCGGGUUCAAAUCCCGCUGCUCGCC
This 75-nucleotide transfer RNA is filed under the name bacterium HR10. It matches the Rfam family "tRNA". From Rfam's summary of the family: Transfer RNA (tRNA) molecules are approximately 80 nucleotides in length. Their secondary structure includes four short double-helical elements and three loops (D, anti-codon, and T loops). The record is from Rfam by way of RNAcentral. RNAcentral also lists the same sequence under 1 other name.